This 446-nucleotide ribosomal RNA is filed under the name uncultured bacterium. RNAcentral describes it as "partial 16S ribosomal RNA". It matches the Rfam family "Bacterial small subunit ribosomal RNA", at positions 338 to 795 of the family's 1533-position model. The record is from RNAcentral.
CCUACGGGGGGCAGCAGUCGAGAAUCAUUCACAAUGGGGGAAACCCUGAUGGUGCGACGCCGCGUGGGGGAAUGAAGGUCUUCGGAUUGUAAACCCCUGUCAUGUGGGAGCAAAUUAAAAAGAUAGUACCACAAGAGGAAGAGACGGCUAACCCUGUGCCAGCAGCCGCGGUAAUACAGAGGUCUCAAGCGUUGUUCGGAAUCACUGGGCGUAAAGCGUGCGUAGGCUGUUUCGUAAGUCGUGUGUGAAAGGCGCGGGCUCAACCCGCGGACGGCACAUGAUACUGCGAGACUAGAGUGAUGGAGGGGGAACCGGAAUUCUCGGUGUAGCAGUGAAAUGCGUAGAUAUCGAGAGGAACACUCGUGGCGAAGGCGGGUUCCUGGACAUUAACUGACGCUGAGGCACGAAGGCCAGGGGAGCGAAAGGGAUUAGAUACCCGAGUAGUC